RNAcentral lists this long non-coding RNA (216 nucleotides) under Elaeis guineensis (African oil palm). Its description in RNAcentral is "long non-coding RNA (EGUI_LNC000797)". The record is from RNAcentral. Lineage: Eukaryota; Viridiplantae; Streptophyta; Magnoliopsida; Arecales; Arecaceae.
CUGGCUAGAAGGCUGAGUAAAAUUAUUGAUUCUCUGGUCUCUUGGUCUCAAAAUGCUUUUGUUAAAUCUAGGCUCAUCUUUGAAAGUUUUGUGUCUGCUUCUCAAGUUAUAGCAUUCUGCAAUCAAUUUAGAAGUAAAGGUAUUAUGCGCACAGUCGACUUUGAGAAAGCAUUCGAUAGCAUCUCUUGAAAAGUCCUCCUUCAUUUACUAAAAUAC